This 257-nucleotide ribosomal RNA is filed under the name uncultured bacterium. RNAcentral describes it as "partial 16S ribosomal RNA". It matches the Rfam family "Bacterial small subunit ribosomal RNA", at positions 30 to 289 of the family's 1533-position model. The record is from RNAcentral.
UUGAACGCUGGCGGCGGCCUAACACAUGCAAGUCGAGCGGAUGAAGGGAGCUUGCUCCUGGAUUCAGCGGCGGACGGGUGAGUAAUGCCUAGGAAUCUGCCUGGUAGUGGGGGAUAACGUCCGGAAACGGGCGCUAAUACCGCAUACGUCCUGAGGGAGAAAGUGGGGGAUCUUCGGACCUCACGCUAUCAGAUGAGCCUAGGUCGGAUUAGCUAGUUGGUGGGGUAAAGGCCUACCAAGGCGACGAUCCGUAACUG